ACAUGUUUACUGUAGCUGACUAGGUCUUACUAAUAUACACAAUUAACACAAACUGUUCUUUCUUGCAUGCAUUUAAACUAUAUGUAAAAGGGAUUAUUUCGAUUGUGACGUAGCCACACGCACACCUGAAGCAUCUUUCCAAACGAGAUGAAUGAUGGAUGAAAAAUGAAGGCUGCCUUUCAAGGAUCCUUCUGAUUGAGAUAGCCUUCAGCGACGCUUGAUGACGUGACAGCCGAGGUUUGCAGCCUUCCAUUUGAGAAGCGCCCGAAUGCUUUGUCCAAAUACCCACACUUGCGGUCUUGGCCACUUGAGAGCUCGUGCACGUGACAGGAAGUAAGUGCGCAAGACUGUCCCAUGUCUUAAAAAUGCCAAAGUGCAGUGCCCUUAAGGCACACUAAACCCACACUAUCCGAAGCGGUAUUCGAGGCUAAGCGUAUCCCAUCAUGCAUUAUGUUCGGGAACUCACGUGCCCUGAAAUCAUGAGAUGUCAAUGAAAACGUUAAAUUCAAAGUUAAAUUAAUUAGAUAUUACAUAAAAAUUGGUAGUAAAACAUAAAGUGUUGCACAUUUUAUUGGUGCAAAGAUGAGUAGGCUACGUGUAUUUUGUACAUCAUUUGUAACUGCUGUCUAUCACUUCAUUAGAAGCAGCACAAUUUUAAUAUUGUGUCUUCUGUUAGUUACAUAGCGACCACUGAACAGACAUUUAGAAGUUUAUUUUAAAAUGCAAAGUAUUGAAAAUAAUAAUUAAAAAAAAAAACUCUGUAAACACUUGCAUUUUUUGCAACACGCUGGCUGCGUCCGAAACCGCCUACUUCUCUACUAUAUAAUAGGGAAAAAGCAGUAGGCGAGCGAAUAAGUAUGUCAGAAACCUCAGUAAUCAUAAAUGAGUAGUCGAGAAGUUCCCGGAUGGCCUACUGCUUCCGCCCAGAUUCUGAAGUGUUCCUCGAUCGAUACUUUUCUAUCCCAGGAGGCCACAGGAGAGGAUACGUCAUAAUUGAACAUGGAGGAGAAAAGCGGCGCGGAUGCUUUCAAAUGGACAGAUGAUCACGUGUGUUCAUCCGCUGGAGAGAGGCUGAUGAAGGAAUGAUGCCAUCAAAGGCUUUGAGUGACGAUACUACAGAAAUGAGUAAGUCUAUUUAAAUCUAAAGUCUAGUUUAUUUUAAUUUUUGUAAUUUAAGCAGAGUUAUUACAGCACUUUUCUGAAUCUUGAUUUCUGUGCAUUUGCUGCAGAGCUCUGUGGUGAAGCAGGACCUACAAGACAAGGUGACUGCAGCAAAAAAGGAAAACCUGAAACAAAAAUAUAAAGUAAGAUCAUUUUGUUACUUCUAAUACAGAAAUCAAAUGACACUGUGCUGUUAAGAUGACUGCUUUUGUACUAUAUUUGUGCAUUAUUGUAGGAUGUGAAAUGUCCUCAGACUGGUGUGAGCUACGACAAAAAUUAGCGAGUAAUUGUAAAAAUAUUAAAUGAAAUAUGGCAAGAAACAGAAUGCUGACAUUAAUGAAUUGUAAAAUGUUUUAAUCUGUUUUAGUCAUGCUGAUGGAGAGCACAUGAAUGUUUGCAGCAGACACAGCAGCAGCCAGAUUGUCCCACACAUCUUCUCCCACUCUUGCUUCAAGGUUGUGGGGUUCAGGGGUCCAUCAUCAUCAUCUUCCUCAUCCUCUGGAUCCACGAUGUCCCCACUGAGAAGAGCAGCAGUGAGGGACAUGAUGGAUGAAGGUGUUCAUCAGAAUAAAGCUGCAGAACUGGCACAGCUGUGUGAGAUGGCAGUAGGAUUGUAAAUACGUGAUUGUUAGAUCAAUAAAUUUGAAUAAAGCUUUGUUUUAUGUGUU
Long non-coding RNA from Ctenopharyngodon idella (grass carp), 1829 nucleotides. RefSeq lists it as uncharacterized. NCBI's taxonomy places the organism in Eukaryota, Metazoa, Chordata, Actinopteri, Cypriniformes, Xenocyprididae. The record is from RefSeq and is a predicted model, not a curated record. The transcript has 2 exons.